GUCACACUGGAACUGAGACACGGUCCAGACUCCUACGGGAGGCAGCAGUGGGGAAUAUUGGACAAUGGGCGAAAGCCUGAUCCAGCCAUGCCGCGUGUGUGAAGAAGGUCUUCGGAUUGUAAAGCACUUUAAGUUGGGAGGAAGGGCAGUAAGCUAAUACCUUGCUGUUUUGACGUUACCGACAGAAUAAGCACCGGCUAACUUCGUG
This 208-nucleotide ribosomal RNA is filed under the name uncultured bacterium. RNAcentral describes it as "partial 16S ribosomal RNA". It matches the Rfam family "Bacterial small subunit ribosomal RNA", at positions 307 to 507 of the family's 1533-position model. The record is from RNAcentral.